RNAcentral lists this transfer RNA (64 nucleotides) under Saussurella borneensis. RNAcentral's name for it is "tRNA-Gly". It matches the Rfam family "tRNA". Rfam says of the family: Transfer RNA (tRNA) molecules are approximately 80 nucleotides in length. Their secondary structure includes four short double-helical elements and three loops (D, anti-codon, and T loops). The record is from RNAcentral. Lineage: Eukaryota; Metazoa; Arthropoda; Insecta; Orthoptera; Tetrigidae.
ACCUACCUAGUAUAAAAGUACACUUGACUUCCAAUCAAAAAGUUUGAUAUAAUCAAGGUAGGUA